AUUGCACAAUGGGCGCAAGCCUGAUGCAGCCAUGCCGCGUGUGUGAAGAAGGCUCUAGGGUUGUAAAGCACUUUCAGUCGGGAGGAAAGCUUGUAGAUUAAUACUCUGCAAGUGUGACGUUACCGACAGAAGAAGCACCGGCUAACUCCGUGCCAGCAGCCGCGGUAAUACGGAGGGUGCAAGCGUUAAUCGGAAUUACUGGGCGUAAAGCGCACGUAGGUGGUUCGUUAAGUUGGAUGUGAAAGCCCCGGGCUCAACCUGGGAACUGCAUUCAAAACUGAUGAGCUAGAGUAUGGUAGAGGUGAGUGGAAUUUCCUGUGUAGCGGUGAAAUGCGUAGAGAUGGGAAGGAACAUCAGUGGCGAAGGCGACUCACUGGACCAAUACUGACACUGAGGUGCGAAAGCGUGGGUAGCAAACAGGAUUAGAUACCCUGGUAGUCCACGCCGU
This 448-nucleotide ribosomal RNA is filed under the name uncultured bacterium. RNAcentral describes it as "bacterial SSU rRNA". It matches the Rfam family "Bacterial small subunit ribosomal RNA", at positions 363 to 803 of the family's 1533-position model. The record is from RNAcentral.